Molecule: RNA transcript, 2015 nt
Organism: Juglans regia (Persian walnut)
Lineage: Eukaryota; Viridiplantae; Streptophyta; Magnoliopsida; Fagales; Juglandaceae
Exons: 7
Source: RefSeq, a predicted model, not a curated record
CAUUGGCGGUGAAAAUGAUGGAGCCAGAGCCCUAACCCCUCCCAAGCUUCUCGUCGUCGUCCGAAACCCUAACUAUCUUCUCUCUCGCAAGGUGCUGGAUUUUGUUAAGGUUGUUAUGAAAUGGCAACAAGAUCAGACCAGGAUAUUGACGAUGACUUUAGCGAGCUUUACAAGGAGUACACGGGUCCUCUAGGAUCGACAACUGCCAAUGUACAGGACAAGGUAAAGACAAACAAAAGGUCUCAUGCGGGUUCCGAUGAGGAAGAGGAACCUCCUCGUGACCCAAAUGCUGUUCCAACUGAUUUCACAAGCCGAGAAGCUAAGGUUUGGGAAGCCAAGUCGAAAGCUACUGAGAGGAUUUGGAAGAAAAGGAAAGAAGAGGAAUUGAUUUGCAAAAUAUGCGGAGAGUCUGGUCACUUUACUCAGGGGUGCCCUUCUACUCUUGGAGCAAAUCGCAAGUCUCAAGAUUUUUUUGAGAGGGUACCUGCUAGAGAAAAGCAUGUGAAAGCACUUUUUACAGAGAAAGUUAUACAAAAGAUUGAAAAGGAUAUUGGUUGCAAAAUCAAGAUGGAGGAGAAAUUUAUUAUUGUCAGUGGCAAGGAUAGGCUAAUUUUGGCAAAAGGUGUGGAUGCUGUGCACAAAGUGAUUAAGGAGGAAGGUGAUCAAAGGGUUUCGUCUAGUUCCCACAUGGUAAGAUCUAGGUCACCUAAACAAAGCCCUGCUGAUACACGGUUGCGACGCUCUGAUUCCCAAAGGUCUCGUUCUAGUUCUCAGAAUGCAUCUCAGGUUCAGCAGAGGUUUGGUAGGCAAGAGAAGGUUGCAGAAGACCAUAUUCGGGAUGAUCUACGGAAAUUUUCAAGGGGUUCUCCACAAGCUUAUGGUAAUAAUGGAGCUAGAGAUUGCUCAAGCCGUUCAAAGUCUCCAGCAUGUCCUCCUUACAUAGGCAAGUCAAAUAAUUCAUAUGAUGGUAAUAAUCAGAGCAUCAAUGCUUAUAGAACUGAUGGAUGGGAUAAUGAGAGGAGAGGAUCUGAUAUGCAAACUGGUCGUCAGUUUGAUUCCUUCCCUCAGACAUUAGAAGGACUAGAGUUGGAGUUUAAAAGGGAGGCAAUGGAACUUGGAAGAAUUCGGGACAAGGAAGAAGAUGAAGAAAAUUACAGGCAUCGUGAGGCUAUUAGGGAGAUGAGAGAGAACUACAUGAAGCAACUGGCUAUUCUGAAGGGUACUCAUGCAAAACAGUGGGAGGAGUUUCUCCAAUUUGAUGCCAAGAGGCGUCAACAACAGGCACAUCAGCAAUUGCCCUCUUCUGGUUUUGGUGGUUAUAAACAGCAUGGUUAUUCCGAGUAUGAUGGCACCUUGGCCAAUCCUCAUUAUCCUGGGGCCAGUUUAGCAAUUGAUUCAAGAAGCCGAUAUCCAAACCCUAUGGAAAAUUACUCUUCAAGGCCUCACAACAAAUUUAAUGAAUUUCAGCGUCAAAGGCGCGAAGAUUAUGGAAACCCUUACGAUCGAUACUAGUCAUUAUGCUUAAGACUGGGUCCAGAUCUUGCACGGGUAUGGAUUAUGCACAGAGGAAGAACAUAUCUAGAGCAAUUUCGCAGGGCACUUGCAGCCAUGAAUGCUGCAAAAGGAGCCAGCAACAUGGUUGGCGGCGUUGUUUUUACACAAUGUGAAGCAUUGAGUUUCAACUUCGGUUUCUGAAGUUUACCAGCCUUCGAGGAUGCUUCUAUUAACGAGUGCUAUGUAAAUCUAAUUGGACCAUACACAAAGGCAGUUGCAAGAACAGUUCUAGGUGCUAGUCCUUGACCCAGAUCGAUGCUCUCUUCCCCCCCCCCCCGCCGGCCAAAAAAAAAAAAACUCAUCUUUUGCGUUCUUGGUACCCCCUUCACCCCUCUCUUGGUUGGGGAGUUCUCUCUCUAUUUUUUUUUUCUUUAAAAAAAUAUUAGUUGAGAGUGGUUGCUAAUUAGGGGUGUGCAACCGGAUCUGGAUCCGAAUUCUAAAAAUCAGACAGUUAUCCGUCA